GGGUUCCGUUUCCGGUCCGUUCCCGGUUGGGGGUUCGGGACGGGUAGGUAGGGACGGAACGGGUGAAGUAAUACAGUACCGGAACCGUACCGUAGGAAGGUAGGGGGAAUAACGUAGACGAAAGUUACGCUAAUACCGCAUAUUCUGUGAGCAGGAAAGAGGGGGAUCGCAAGACCUCUUGCUUUAGGAGCGGCCGAUGUCGGAUUAGCUAGUUGGUGAGGUAAAGGCUCACCAAGGCGACGAUCCGUAGCGGGUCUGAGAGGAUGAUCCGCCACACUGGGACUGAGACACGGCCCAGACUCCUACGGGAGGCAGCAGUGGGGAAUUUUGGACAAUGGGCGCAAGCCUGAUCCAGCCAUGCCGCGUGAGUGAAGAAGGCCUUCGGGUUGUAAAGCUCUUUCGGUGGGGAAGAAAUUGCUUCGGUUAAUACCUGGAGUAGAUGACGGUACCCGCAUAAGAAGCACCGGCUAACUACGUG
This 478-nucleotide ribosomal RNA is filed under the name uncultured bacterium. RNAcentral describes it as "bacterial SSU rRNA". It matches the Rfam family "Bacterial small subunit ribosomal RNA", at positions 55 to 507 of the family's 1533-position model. The record is from RNAcentral.